Molecule: long non-coding RNA, 522 nt
Organism: Hypanus sabinus (Atlantic stingray)
Lineage: Eukaryota; Metazoa; Chordata; Chondrichthyes; Myliobatiformes; Dasyatidae
Exons: 4
Source: RefSeq, a predicted model, not a curated record
AGGAAAUGCGAUGCUACCAACCGGACCAAUGACAGUGGUUACGGUCUGCAUUGCCACGACGUGUGAGCAACUUUUCUGGAGAGGUGUACCCUACUGUCUUAUCUGAUGCUAUGUGUCCAUAAUGCUGCUGCAAGUAAGUUUUUCAUUGUACCUGUGUGGAAAUGGACUUGUAGGUAUGACAAUAAUCUUGACUUUGAUUUAGAAUUCUGAAAUUAUUCCAAACCCUAUGCAAUAUUAUAAUCCAUUUCCUUCAUUUAACAUCUAAACUCUUUUUUUCCACAGUUGGAUGUCAAUGCCUAAAGGGUGACUACAUUUUUUCUUAGACAUUGCGCAGAAUAGACCCCUCUGGCCCUUUGAGCUGCACUGUUCAACAACCCACCUAUUUAAUCACGGGACAAUUUACAAUGACCAAUUAAGGCCACAAACUUAUCAAUCAUCCCUGCUGUGGACCACUUCCGGAAGUCCAAGACACCGACCUCUACAAAGAAGGGAUCCAUAUGCUCCAUGACCGCUGGACUAAGU